Molecule: ribosomal RNA, 200 nt
Filed under: uncultured bacterium
Lineage: Bacteria
Description: partial 16S ribosomal RNA
Rfam family: Bacterial small subunit ribosomal RNA
Source: RNAcentral
GUAGUCUGCAACUCGACUACAUGAAGCCGGAAUCGCUAGUAAUCGCGGAUCAGCAUGCCGCGGUGAAUACGUUCCCGGGCCUUGUACACACCGCCCGUCACACCAUGGGAGCCGGUAAUACCCGAAGUCAGUAGUCCAACCACGUGAGGACGCUGCCGAAGGUAGGAUUGGCGACUGGGGUGAAGUCGUAACAAGGUAAC